CUAUUCUAUCUUUAAAUCUUCUAGAAUGAUCUUGAGCUACAAUAGUUCACAAAUUCCUAGAGCUAUUGCUCUAAAUUCUGCCUCAUUACUAGACCUUGCUACAACACUCUAUUUCUUACUUCUCCAAGUUACAAGGUUGCCACCAAGAAAGGUGCAAUAACCCGAUGUUGAUCUUCGGUCAACUGGGGACCCUGCAUAGUGUCACGACCCUCGCCCUAUUCCUGCGGGCCGCUGCGACGUUCCUAGGGUGCGGGUAGGCAUAAGGCCACCAGCCACCAUGUAGAACCCUACUACCUAUCAAUCAUCAAUAAAUCCUAAAAAUUUUGGCAUGAUGCAUACACAAAAUGAUCACCUUUCCAAUAUUAACAUGUCAGGAUUAUCUCAAUACAUACAACAACACUACCUGUCAGAGCAGCAAUCACAUAAUCUAUCACAUAAUAAACCUGGACAACAUAUAGGAAUCACAGGCACACAACUGAUCUGCACACAUACAUAUAUAUAUAUAUACCUGCUUCCCAAUCCAUCCAUGGUCAACCCAUAUCCACAACAGGAUCUAUGACUGUAACUAUACACUAUAUACAACAGAAGGUUUAUAAUACACCAACAUGUAUAAAUCUCUAUCUAUAUUAUACUAUGGAGCGGCACAGCAAGCAGGCAAUCUCUAACCCUGCUCCUCUCUAUACAACACCUGCCCUGCAAUCAAAAACACCAAACUGGGGAGUGAGUAUAUGAAUUCUCAGUGAGUGGAGUAGAGAGUACUAUGCACAUGAGACAAGAUAUAAUCAUGGCUCGAGGUGAAAUCUCAAGAGUAUAUGAGUAGUCAUCAAUAACAGGGUGCACACAACUCAACAUAAGAAAUUUGGAGUAAAUUAUCACAGUAUCACCACAAUCACAAUCAACUCAUUAUGAGCAUAUAUAGAAUAAUCAAAUAAACAUGAAUGAUACAUCAUGAAUAUGCUCAAUAGAUUAUAACACUAAAAUAUGCAAAUUGGGGAGUCAAUAUGCGAAGUCAUCACUAGACAGCUGCCGGAAGGUGGGUCUUACGCCCCUGGCGAACCACAGCAACUCCCUACUGUCACAUUCAUAUGCAGGAUAAGACACCAUACUGAUAAUGUAAAUGCUGGCAAGUAUCCAGAACAGAAAUCCAUAGAAACAUCUCAUAUUUGUAUACUAAACGGCACCUCGCGGGGUCUUACUUUGCUCGGCGGCAAGCCAUAUAUAAGUCGCAGGACCGGCCGAUCCUACGCCUAGGGUCGUGUCCACCCUAGGAAGGGACUAGGUUCCGCCCACCCAUAAGGCUACUAUGUGCACACAGGCCGAUGUCUAACCCCAUCGACUAUAGGUGUCCUGUAGAUACUGCCAAACCAUGCAUAAUGCCAUAAUGCACCCUCCCAAUACUCUACUAAAAAGGAGCAUAAUCAAGACUACUACUCACUCGGCCAUGAUCCAAUCGUAACUAACAUCAGGGUUGGGAGUGAGGAAUCAUGGGAGUGCAAUGCAGCUCAAUAUACCACUGAAAAGGGCUCUACAAGUCUUUGAAAUAGAGGAAAUGAAAUCAAUUUACAAAAGAAUUCAUUUCACAAUUCGGAAUCAAUUUGACUACUCUUUUACCCCUCGUAAUUUUUCUCAAUGUUCCCUCAAAUACGUGUACAAAAUAAUCAAGCAUGGAGAAACAAGAUUAUAGAUGAAUCUACUACAAUAUCAAUCAAUAUGCACAAGUGGAAUCAAUUUACAAUUGGUGACAUUCAUGAAAAUGAAUUAAGAAUGCUCAUGGUGCAAAGUACAUGACUCCCACUCACCUGCCAAUCCGGCACGGUCCUGAUACACCUCCAAAAAUCUACAGUAGGCAGUGGGAGACUUCUUCCUCUUGUUCCCUAGCUUCUUGCCUAAUUGUGACAUGCAUUAAUUAUACAUUCAGUCUUGUAUCAAGGACUCAUAAUCUAUGUAUCCACCAUAAACAUAGAAAACUUUAAUUGACUCAACUCCCCCCUCACUAAAUCUUCCUUUUUCUAUUAAUUAACUUGCUAUUUUUUCUCUUUCUAAAAUUUUCCUGACUCCCGAGCCAUCUCCGACUUCCAAAGUCGACUCCGCUGAGGCUCGAGUCGACUCCGGCACUUUCCGAGUCGACUCUGCCUAGCUCGAGUCGACCCCAAUCUGCCUCGAAUCGACUCCAGUUGACCUCGAGUCGACUCCGGCACGUUUCGAGGCGACUCCCAUCAUUUUUCUCACCUUCUUCAUCUCGGAUGAACAGUAAUCCGAACUGACAGCGGGUUAUUUCAUCUCGGUUUUGAUCCACUUUCCAAACUCCAAACUUUAUAAAAUUUUUAUCUAACAUGUUACACUCAUAGAGGUUUCC
Molecule: long non-coding RNA, 2356 nt
Filed under: Phoenix dactylifera (date palm)
Lineage: Eukaryota; Viridiplantae; Streptophyta; Magnoliopsida; Arecales; Arecaceae
Description: long non-coding RNA (PDAC_LNC013179)
Source: RNAcentral